RNAcentral lists this small RNA (142 nucleotides) under Mariniflexile fucanivorans. Its description in RNAcentral is "Flavo-1 RNA". It matches the Rfam family "Flavo-1 RNA". Lineage: Bacteria; Pseudomonadati; Bacteroidota; Flavobacteriia; Flavobacteriales; Flavobacteriaceae. The record is from RNAcentral.
UUGCGUUAGGGAUAGCAGUGUAAAUCCUUUUUAAAAUUUGACAGCACUAAUUAUUGUGAAGAACUAGAAUUCUGCAGUUUGCUUCGUCGUUUAAUCCUCGCAAUGACUUUUAAAAAGAUUGUAACGUAUAGCCCGACCCGAU